RNAcentral lists this unclassified non-coding RNA (882 nucleotides) under Hevea brasiliensis (rubber tree). The record is from RNAcentral. Lineage: Eukaryota; Viridiplantae; Streptophyta; Magnoliopsida; Malpighiales; Euphorbiaceae.
GGUUUAUUUUAUGGCUAUAUAAAUCUUAGAAGGUUGCUUUAAACAUUAGCUUGGCAUAUUUGAAGAUUGAGAACUAAAUAAAACUUGAGAGUAUCAUUUUCUUUCUAUGUGUUCUACAUCACACUGUAUAUGAAAUCCCAGCCUUUAUUUCCAGAAGAUCAUAAGAAUUUUUCAAUAUAGAGAGGAUUUUAGAAAUUAAUACAAGACAAGAGCAAGAGUUACAACACACGCUUUAGAAGACAGACAAUAUCAAAAUGCCUAUAACUUAGACAUCACUGAAUCUGAAAGAGCACUUAAGAGGAACAUUUUAUCUAGUAUAAAAUGUGACAUAAUUGGUCACCACCACACAUUUACUUAUUUGGCCAAAAGCCUUUAGCCUUAUGAUAAAAAAAAUCACAUUAACUACUAAGAAUUUGGAGUUAGAAAAAGCUUUGUGAAGAAAGUGAAGUGAGAGCAAAAUCUAUUGUUAAGGUUUUGGUGGCUGGCUGAGAAAAGGGAAACACAAUAAUACAAUUAAGAGAGGAGGGCGAGGAAGGAGGCGCCCCCAGGAGGAGGAGGAGGAAAAAGGAAAGAAGGGGGGCGGGGCGCACGGGGGCAUUGUCUUGUGUUGAAUGGAGGCAGGGCGGGCUGGGCAGGAGUAGUAGCCAUCACUAAUUGAAACAGUUGGUAAGGUUGUGAGUUAGGAGAUAUUAUAUAUUACAUCUAUGAUUCCAUGAAGGAUAUCAUAUAUGAAAUGGCAAAUUAAUAGAAAAUGAACAUGCAUUUAUGGGUAGGUUUUAGAAAAUUAUAACUACCAAACAGUUUUUCUGAAAAAAAAUCAGUAACUAUAAUUAUCUACAUGCCAACUUGUUAUUGGUUUGUUAUUCCAUAUCAGAUGCCUAA